Long non-coding RNA from Larimichthys crocea (large yellow croaker), 1688 nucleotides. RefSeq lists it as uncharacterized. Lineage: Eukaryota; Metazoa; Chordata; Actinopteri; Sciaenidae. The record is from RefSeq and is a predicted model, not a curated record. The transcript is spliced from 4 exons.
UCACGCCGACGUUGAUAAGACUCAGGUAACUUACCAAAGGAAGUUUUGGAGAGAUUAGAUCCACCCCAGCAGUAAUUCUCAGCAAAACAAGUGGCUUAACACUCUGUGUUUCACACCAAACUUUUGGACUGUUUGGUUUUGAUAACGUUAGCUCGCUACAAGUCAUAUCAGGGACACACCUGUCUGCUAUCAGCGCUUAGAUAGUGUUUCCCCCAGCAGCAGCAGACUGUCAGUAACACUGUGACAAGUACAGACGACAUUUUUCAUUCUUACACUCGGGAACAGGAUUUGUCAAGGAUGACAUACAACUCACAGCCAGCACAGUUCAGCACAUGGACACAACGUCGAUGUAGACCUCCAAAAACAGUUUCCUCAGGACAUGAAAGAGAGCAGAAGCCUUGAUUUGUUUGCUGCGGUCCUCGGUUUUAAAGCAAACAAGGGUUAGCAACAUUAAAUCAGUGACGCAGUGAAGUGGGAGUGUUGAUUUCUAGAUCUCAUGAUACUCCUGGACAGCCUGAAAUGUCACUGAGCAGCAACAGCUCAUGGAAACGGCAUCAAGCUAUCUGCUUCCUCUUAGUUUUGGUGGUCUGUCUUGCAGAAUGAGUUUGGGUCCCUGGGAGCGCUUCACAGCAGAAUCCCCUGUGUUGCUCUCAGCAGUGACACAGACUUUCAUAUGCAGGCUGUCAUGGAUAUCCUGUGCAAAGAAAUCCAACUCUUCAGCACACACAGCAAUGAGCGCCCUUCUGCACUGCUGGGUUUACAAGGUCUAAGAUGAACAGAAAGGAAGAGGUUGUAGGGAAAAUAAUACCUCCUGCAACUGUUAAGCGGUGUGGUAUAGUCUAUCAUGGGAAUGAUUGUAGCUCAGUGUGGUGAAUUUGAUAUUUGUAAAGAACCAAAGAGGCUACAUGACUCGCUUUUUAGAUAGUGAUAAAUGUAUAUUUUUGUCAUAGGGAUGAUAACAUAGCAAACUAUUAUUAGGUUAUUUUAACUGUUAGCUUCCUCUGAAUCUCACAGUCUUGACUUCCUCGAACUCUUGUAUGACUCUUGAUUCACAUUUCUUGCAUAGCAAUGAAGGUCGUGUCUGUUCAACUUUCUUUUUACAUAAACUUCAGUUAAUCUGUCCUUUCUGUCGUCUUACCCAAACUAACAUUUACCUCCCGUCCUCCCUUUCAUUUCAUCCCCCCUUAGCUCAGUCCAUUUAUCUCAUCUUCUCCCCCCUUCUCUCCUUUCUUUGUUGUUUUGUCUAUCAUCUAUUGACUCCUGUCCUUCUCCACCAUGCUGACCUGCACAACUACCAACCAUUAAUACUUUUUUCUCAACUCAUUUUCACAAACACAGGAACACAUACACAUACAAGGUCCUAUUAAUAUGACAAUGCUCUCAUCACUAAACAGUGCUGCCCACGCAGUGUACCACAUUACUCCUCAGCCUAAUCAUCAUCUCUCCUCUGCUCUCUUGUUCAUUCUCCAGUUAAGUGAAGCAGCAGAUUGAACCCCUCAGCUACUGUCAUCUCCCGCUCGCUUUACUUUCAAUUACCUUCUGUUUUCUGUGUAUCAAAACUAUAUUACCAACAGAUGCUCCAAAAAACUAUGUCAACCGGAGGGAUUUGCGUAACUGGUAAACUGCUGUAUGCUGUUAUGUCAUAGUUCUCUAUUUUUUUGGCGUUCAUCCUUAAUAAAACUGUUUGA